AUUAUGGCGUUUUUACAAAAUGUGGACGAUUAAAUCUGCUGAGUAAUCGACGCUGCGAUCAAACUGGACAGUGGAUAUAUCAGCCAGAGACGACAGAAGGCGAAAUCCCAGACAGACUGCAGAACGUUUGCGGACAUGGCGUGUGAAAAAUCUGUUGUUCGUGAGAUGAAUAUCGUGGCUGCAGAUGCAACUAUCUCCGACGGGUAGAGGCUGGUCGGAAUAAAGUCGGCAGCCAUCGUAGAACCCUAUAGUAGCGGUGAUCGGUCCUUCUGUUGCUUCGAUGGCGUUGUCUCCAGAAACGUAAUACUUGACAAGAUCAUUGCUUGCUGGAGACAAAUCCCUCUCUUGUGGUGGCAUUCUCCGGCUCGAGAACAGCGCCACCUCUCACUCUGACCAGAGCAAUGCGAUUGAGGCCACAACGCCGCGAUCGCCCAGCUGCAAAUCUGUGCACAUGGAAUGCGAAUUCCGCCCUAGCGGUCCACAGACGCAAUGGGACACACUCCAUAGCUAUCGAAUGGCUCUAGGCGAUAGAGCAAAGAUCACUAACUGAAAAGCUGUGAUCCGUGAGAUUCACUGAAAACUAUGAGCGUUCUUUACCCUCGUCCAAGCUGACCAGGAAUUGCACAAAUGUGUGAAAGACGUACCGCCAUUGAAACUCAAUCCCGGAUAAGGCACGUGUACAAUACGUGGCAUGCGUAUCUAUACACACACACAAG
Molecule: long non-coding RNA, 716 nt
Filed under: Selaginella moellendorffii
Lineage: Eukaryota; Viridiplantae; Streptophyta; Lycopodiopsida; Selaginellales; Selaginellaceae
Description: long non-coding RNA (SMOE_LNC000303)
Source: RNAcentral